UGCAAGUCGAGGGGUAUUGGUUUUCGGACCAAGAGACCGGCGCACGGGUGCGUAACGCGUAUGCAAUCUACCUUUUGCAGAGGGAUAGCCCAGAGAAAUUUGGAUUAAUACCUCAUAGUAUAGUACUUUGGCAUCAAGGAACUAUUAAAGUCACAACGGCAAAAGAUGAGCAUGCGUCCCAUUAGCUAGUUGGUAAGGUAACGGCUUACCAAGGCUACGAUGGGUAGGGGUCCUGAGAGGGAGAUCCCCCACACUGGUACUGAGACACGGACCAGACUCCUACGGGAGGCAGCAGUGAGGAAUAUUGGACAAUGGGCGCAAGCCUGAUCCAGCCAUGCCGCGUGCAGGAUGACGGUCCUAUGGAUUGUAAACUGCUUUUAUACAGGAAGAAACACUCCGACGUGUCGGAGCUUGACGGUACUGUAAGAAUAAGGAUCGGCUAACUCCGUGCCAGCAGCCGCGGUAAUACGGAGGAUCCAAGCGUUAUCCGGAAUCAUUGGGUUUAAAGGGUCCGUAGGCGGUUUGGUAAGUCAGUGGUGAAAGCCCAUCGCUCAACGGUGGAACGGCCAUUGAUACUGCCAGACUUGAAUUACUGGGAAGUAACUAGAAUAUGUAGUGUAGCGGUGAAAUGCUUAGAGAUUACAUGGAAUACCAAUUGCGAAGGCAGGUUACUACCAGUGGAUUGACGCUGAUGGACGAA
RNAcentral lists this ribosomal RNA (700 nucleotides) under uncultured bacterium. RNAcentral describes it as "bacterial SSU rRNA". It matches the Rfam family "Bacterial small subunit ribosomal RNA", at positions 56 to 757 of the family's 1533-position model. The record is from RNAcentral.